ACUCAAAUGAAUUGACGGGGGCCCGCACAAGCGGUGGAGCAUGUGGUUUAAUUCGAUGCAACGCGAAGAACCUUACCUACCCUUGACAUCCUAAGAAUCCUGCAGAGAUGCGGGAGUGCCGAAAGGAAUUUAGAGACAGGUGCUGCAUGGCUGUCGUCAGCUCGUGUUGUGAGAUGUUGGGUUAAGUCCCGUAACGAGCGCAACCCUUAUCCUUAGUUGCCAACAUGUAAUGGUGGGGACUCUAAGGAGACUGCUGGUGAAGAACCGGAGGAAGGUGGGGACGACGUCAAGUCAUCAUGGCCCUUAUGGGUAGGGCAACACACGUGCUACAAUGGGGUGUAACAAAGGGAAGCCAACCUGCAAAGGGGAGCCAAUCUCAAAAACCACCUCGUAGUCCGGAUUGGAGUCUGCAACUCGACUCCAUGAAGUUGGAAUCGCUAGUAAUCGCGAAUCAGAAUGUCGCGGUGAAUACGUUCCCGGGCCUUGUACACACCGCCCGU
This 500-nucleotide ribosomal RNA is filed under the name uncultured bacterium. RNAcentral describes it as "partial 16S ribosomal RNA". It matches the Rfam family "Bacterial small subunit ribosomal RNA", at positions 899 to 1397 of the family's 1533-position model. The record is from RNAcentral.